Molecule: non-coding RNA, 22 nt
Filed under: Arabidopsis thaliana (thale cress)
Lineage: Eukaryota; Viridiplantae; Streptophyta; Magnoliopsida; Brassicales; Brassicaceae
Source: RNAcentral
UUUAACCUGGUGAGGGUUUCGC